GAGACCCCAGAUCAGGUGGGACUACCCGCUG
RNAcentral lists this ribosomal RNA (31 nucleotides) under Pleuropterus multiflorus (tuber fleeceflower). RNAcentral describes it as "Fallopia multiflora partial 26S ribosomal RNA". The record is from RNAcentral. Lineage: Eukaryota; Viridiplantae; Streptophyta; Magnoliopsida; Caryophyllales; Polygonaceae.